RNAcentral lists this ribosomal RNA (1368 nucleotides) under uncultured bacterium. RNAcentral describes it as "bacterial SSU rRNA". It matches the Rfam family "Bacterial small subunit ribosomal RNA", at positions 28 to 1381 of the family's 1533-position model. The record is from RNAcentral.
GACGAACGCUGGCGGCGUGCCUAAUACAUGCAAGUAGAACGCUGAAGAGAGGAGCUUGCUCUUCUUGGAUGAGUUGCGAACGGGUGAGUAACGCGUAGGUAACCUGCCUUGUAGCGGGGGAUAACUAUUGGAAACGAUAGCUAAUACCGCAUAACAAUGGAUGACACAUGUCAUUUAUUUGAAAGGGGCAAUUGCUCCACUACAAGAUGGACCUGCGUUGUAUUAGCUAGUAGGUGAGGUAACGGCUCACCUAGGCGACGAUACAUAGCCGACCUGAGAGGGUGAUCGGCCACACUGGGACUGAGACACGGCCCAGACUCCUACGGGAGGCAGCAGUGGGGAAUCUUCGGCAAUGGGGGCAACCCUGACCGAGCAACGUCGCGUGAGUGAAGAAGGUUUUCGGAUCGUAAAGCUCUGUUGUAAGUCAAGAACGAGUGUGAGAGUGGAAAGUUCACACUGUGACGGUAGCUUACCAGAAAGGGACGGCUAACUACGUGCCAGCAGCCGCGGUAAUACGUAGGUCCCGAGCGUUGUCCGGAUUUAUUGGGCGUAAAGCGAGCGCAGGCGGUUUGAUAAGUCUGAAGUUAAGGCUGUGGCUCAACCAUAGUUCGCUUUGGAAACUGUCAAACUUGAGUGCAGAAGGGGAGAGUGGAAUUCCAUGUGUAGCGGUGAAAUGCGUAGAUAUAUGGAGGAACACCGGUGGCGAAAGCGGCUCUCUGGUCUGUAACUGACGCUGAGGCUCGAAAGCGUGGGGAGCGAACAGGAUUAGAUACCCUGGUAGUCCACGCCGUAAACGAUGAGUGCUAGGUGUUGGAUCCUUUCCGGGAUUCAGUGCCGCAGCUAACGCAUUAAGCACUCCGCCUGGGGAGUACGACCGCAAGGUUGAAACUCAAAGGAAUUGACGGGGGCCCGCACAAGCGGUGGAGCAUGUGGUUUAAUUCGAAGCAACGCGAAGAACCUUACCAGGUCUUGACAUCCCGAUGCUAUUUCUAGAGAUAGAAAGUUACUUCGGUACAUCGGUGACAGGUGGUGCAUGGUUGUCGUCAGCUCGUGUCGUGAGAUGUUGGGUUAAGUCCCGCAACGAGCGCAACCCCUAUUGUUAGUUGCCAUCAUUCAGUUGGGCACUCUAGCGAGACUGCCGGUAAUAAACCGGAGGAAGGUGGGGAUGACGUCAAAUCAUCAUGCCCCUUAUGACCUGGGCUACACACGUGCUACAAUGGUUGGUACAACGAGUUGCGAGUCGGUGACGGCAAGCUAAUCUCUUAAAGCCAAUCUCAGUUCGGAUUGUAGGCUGCAACUCGCCUACAUGAAGUCGGAAUCGCUAGUAAUCGCGGAUCAGCACGCCGCAGUGAAUACGUUCCCGGGCCU